AGAGUAUAUUUGUCAUAGCCGAAUGGUCAUACAUAUCCAAUACCCAUUGUCAUUCUAGUGAUCGACGAUUCAAACCCGUGUUUCUUUUCGAAAUUGUUUGCUCUUAUUUUUCCCCGUUUACCUGAACAGGGAACAAACAAAAUGCAUUUUAGUGUACCUAAAGUUCCAGCAGUCGCUCGCUCGGACGAUUUUAAUCGAAAAAUACCCCUCGAUUUGACGUGCAAACUUUUCUACUAGAGUUGCUCCGAUGUAUCAAGUG
This is a non-coding RNA of Cinara cedri, 259 nucleotides long. The record is from the annotation of a GenBank genome assembly. Lineage: Eukaryota; Metazoa; Arthropoda; Insecta; Hemiptera; Aphididae.